GAGUGAACGCUGGCGGUAGGCCUAACACAUGCAAGACGAACGGCAGCACAGUAAGAGCUUGCUCUUACGGGUGGCGAGUGGCGGACGGGUGAGGAAUACAUCGGAAUCUACUUUUUCGUGGGGGAUAACGUAGGGAAACUUACGCUAAUACCGCAUACGACCUACGGGUGAAAGCAGGGAUCUUCGGACCUUGCGCGAAUGAAUGAGCCGAUGUCGGAUUAGCUAGUUGGCGGGGUAAAGGCCCACCAAGGCGACGAUCCGUAGCUGGUCUGAGAGGAUGAUCAGCCACACUGGAACUGAGACACGGUCCAGACUCCUACGGGAGGCAGCAGUGGGGAAUAUUGGACAAUGGGCGCAAGCCUGAUCCAGCCAUACCGCGUGGGUGAAGAAGGCCUUCGGGUUGUAAAGCCCUUUUGUUGGGAAAGAAAAGCAGCAGGUUAAUACCCCGCUGUUCUGACGGUACCCAAAGAAUAAGCACCGGCUAACUUCGUG
Molecule: ribosomal RNA, 492 nt
Filed under: uncultured bacterium
Lineage: Bacteria
Description: partial 16S ribosomal RNA
Rfam family: Bacterial small subunit ribosomal RNA
Source: RNAcentral